AACGAACGCUGGCGGCAGGCCUAACACAUGCAAGUCGAGCGCCCCGCAAGGGGAGCGGCGGACGGGUGAGUAACGCGUGGGAACGUAUCCUUUGCUACGGAAUAGCCUCGGGAAACUGGGAGUAAUACCGUAUGUGCCCUUCGGGGAAGGAUUUAUCGGCAAAGGAUCGGCCCGCGUUGGAUUAGGUAGUUGGUGGGGUAAUGGCCUACCAAGCCGACGAUCCAUAGCUGGUUUGAGAGGAUGAUCAGCCACACUGGGACUGAGACACGGCCCAGACUCCUACGGGAGGCAGCAGUGGGGAAUCUUAGACAAUGGGCGCAAGCCUGAUCUAGCCAUGCCGCGUGAGCGAUGAAGGCCUUAGGGUUGUAAAGCUCUUUCAGUGGGGAAGAUAAUGACUGUACCCACAGAAGAAGCCCGG
RNAcentral lists this ribosomal RNA (418 nucleotides) under uncultured bacterium. RNAcentral describes it as "bacterial SSU rRNA". It matches the Rfam family "Bacterial small subunit ribosomal RNA", at positions 29 to 495 of the family's 1533-position model. The record is from RNAcentral.